CGGGAUGAUGAGCCAGGAAGUGCCGUCAGAUGCGAGAACUGACGAGAGACUCCUUGUGGCUGACC
Molecule: small nucleolar RNA, 65 nt
Organism: Ahaetulla prasina
Lineage: Eukaryota; Metazoa; Chordata; Lepidosauria; Squamata; Colubridae
Product: small nucleolar RNA SNORD49
Exons: 1
Source: RefSeq, a predicted model, not a curated record